Molecule: ribosomal RNA, 495 nt
Filed under: uncultured bacterium
Lineage: Bacteria
Description: partial 16S ribosomal RNA
Rfam family: Bacterial small subunit ribosomal RNA
Source: RNAcentral
GACGAACGCUGGCGGCGUGCCUAAUACAUGCAAGUAGAACGCUGAAGGAGGAGCUUGCUUCUCUGGAUGAGUUGCGAACGGGUGAGUAACGCGUAGGUAACCUGCCUGGUAGCGGGGGAUAACUAUUGGAAACGAUAGCUAAUACCGCAUAAUAGUAGAUGUUGCAUGACAUUUGCUUAAAAGGUGCAAUUGCAUCACUACCAGAUGGACCUGCGUUGUAUUAGCUAGUUGGUGGGGUAACGGCUCACCAAGGCGACGAUACAUAGCCGACCUGAGAGGGUGAUCGGCCACACUGGGACUGAGACACGGCCCAGACUCCUACGGGAGGCAGCAGUAGGGAAUCUUCGGCAAUGGACGGAAGUCUGACCGAGCAACGCCGCGUGAGUGAAGAAGGUUUUCGGAUCGUAAAGCUCUGUUGUAAGAGAAGAACGAGUGUGAGAGUGGAAAGUUCACACUGUGACGGUAUCUUACCAGAAAGGGGCGGCUAACUACGUG